CCUACGGGUGGCAGCAGUGAGGAAUAUUGGUCAAUGGGCGAGAGCCUGAACCAGCCAAGUCGCGUGAAGGAUGACGGCCCUACGGGUUGUAAACCUCUUUUGUCAGGGAGCAACGCCGGCUACGUGUAGCCGGACUGAGAGUACCUGAAGAAAAAGCAUCGGCUAACUCCGUGCCAGCAGCCGCGGUAAUACGGAGGAUGCGAGCGUUAUCCGGAUUUAUUGGGUUUAAAGGGUGCGUAGGCGGAAGGUUAAGUCAGCGGUCAAAUGUCGGUGCUCAACACCGGCCUGCCGUUGAAACUGGUCUUCUUGAGUGAGCGAGAAGUAUGCGGAAUGCGGGGUGUAGCGGUGAAAUGCAUAGAUAUCACGCAGAACUCCGAUUGCGAAGGCAGCAUACCGGCGCCCAACUGACGCUGAAGCACGAAAGCGUGGGUAUCGAACAGGAUUAGAUACCCGGGUAGUC
RNAcentral lists this ribosomal RNA (460 nucleotides) under uncultured bacterium. Its description in RNAcentral is "partial 16S ribosomal RNA". It matches the Rfam family "Bacterial small subunit ribosomal RNA", at positions 338 to 795 of the family's 1533-position model. The record is from RNAcentral.